AUGUUGACAAAGAAAAGAAAGCACGAGAAGGCAGGGGUGGCUUCUCACCUUGCUGUUCGUGGCGAGGCCGGAAGACACGGGACGGACGACAGCGAAUUCAGGACGUUAGCAAUGGCAGUCAACGUCGAGGAAGUAGGAGAGACCCGUGGCUUCAAAUCCUUGGUCCAGAGGAGACGCGGAGCCCGUCACGGUCCCUACAGUUGCUCGGGGAGGAUGACGACCGCGGCGGCGUCGCAACGGCGGCUAACGGAACAGAGGAAGGCGACCUCGGUCCAUAAGUUUGCUGCAUGCUCGGUGUCCAGGAAUCGCAUCAGAACGACGGCCGGAGCUGAACAGAAUUAG
RNAcentral lists this ribosomal RNA (342 nucleotides) under Triticum aestivum (bread wheat). RNAcentral describes it as "partial small subunit ribosomal RNA". The record is from RNAcentral. Lineage: Eukaryota; Viridiplantae; Streptophyta; Magnoliopsida; Poales; Poaceae.